CUGCACCAUACACAAGUUAAGGCUUUAAAUUCUCCAAAAUACUGUUAAAGCUAGUAGUUCCCAAGAAUCACUGAUUCAAAAUCAUCCUAUCUUGCAGGAUUUCGAGAGUUGGGGAUGUUUACUUUAAUACCUCAUGGGCUUUAUCUGUAAUAUUCCAGUUUACUCAAGUUUUUACAACGACGGCUUUCACACUAUUGUCUUUUUUAAGGUCAAUAUUAUUUUCUCUUUUUCUCUUUCUUCUUUUUUAUUUUUUAUUUUUAUUUUUUUAUUUAUGAAUAAAUUAUGCACUUUUACUCUUGUAAUGAUUUCUCCGUGUAGCAAGCAUUGAGUCAACAACUCCCACACCAGAUGGCAUAAGGUGUUGGGCAUCAAGACUCC
RNAcentral lists this long non-coding RNA (378 nucleotides) under Phoenix dactylifera (date palm). RNAcentral's name for it is "long non-coding RNA (PDAC_LNC008156)". The record is from RNAcentral. Lineage: Eukaryota; Viridiplantae; Streptophyta; Magnoliopsida; Arecales; Arecaceae.